AAUUUUGGACAAUGGGGGAAACCCUGAUCCAGCCAUCCCGCGUGUAUGAUGAAGGCCAUCGGGUUGUAGAGUACUUUUUGCCGAGAAGAAAAGGUAUCUCAUAAGACGAGAUACUGCUGACGGUUUCUGUAGAAUAAGCACCGGCUACCUACGUGCCAGCACCCGCGGUAAUACGUACGGUGCAAGCGUUAAUCGGAAUUACUGCGCGUAAAGCGUGUGUAGGCGGUUCGGGAAGAAAGAUGUGACAUCCCAGGGCUCAACCUUGGAACUGCAUUUUUAACUGCCGAGCUAGAGUAUGUCAGAGGGGGGUAGAAUUCCACGUGUAGCAGUGAAAUGCGUAGAUAUGUGGAGGAAUACCGAUGGCGAAGGCAGCCCCCUGGGAUAAUACUGACGCUCAGACACGAAAGCGUGGGGAGCAAACA
This 422-nucleotide ribosomal RNA is filed under the name uncultured bacterium. Its description in RNAcentral is "partial 16S ribosomal RNA". It matches the Rfam family "Bacterial small subunit ribosomal RNA", at positions 360 to 774 of the family's 1533-position model. The record is from RNAcentral.